Molecule: ribosomal RNA, 402 nt
Filed under: bacterium
Lineage: Bacteria
Description: partial 16S ribosomal RNA
Rfam family: Bacterial small subunit ribosomal RNA
Source: RNAcentral
UGGGGAAUUUUGCACAAUGGGGGAAACCCUGAUGCAGCGACGCCGCGUGAUUUAGAAGGCCUUCGGGUUGUAAAAAUCUUUUCUAUGGGAAGAAAAUGACAGUACCAUAGGAAUAAGGACCGGCUAAUUACGUGCCAGCAGCCGCGGUAAUACGUAAGGUCCGAGCGUUGUCCGGAAUCAUUGGGCGUAAAAGGUACGUAGGCGGGUAAGCAAGUUAGAAGUGAAAUCCUAUAGCUCAACUAUAGUAAGCUUUUAAAACUGCUCAUCUUGAGGUAUGGAAGGGAAAGUGGAAUUCCUAGUGUAGCGGUGAAAUGCGCAGAUAUUAGGAGGAAUACCGGUGGCGAAGGCGACUUUCUGGCCAUAACCUGACGCUGAGGUACGAAAGCGUGGGUAGCAAACAGG